UUUGAUCCUGGCUCAGGAUGAAACGCUGGCGGGCGUGCCUAAUACAUGCAAGUCGAGCGAAUGGAUUAAGAGCUUGCUCUUAUGAAGUUAGCGGCGGACGGGUGAGUAACACGUGGGUAACCUGCCCAUAAGACUGGGAUAACUCCGGGAAACCGGGGCUAAUACCGGAUAACAUUUUGAACCGCAUGGUUCGAAAUUGAAAGGCGGCUUCGGCUGUCACUUAUGGAUGGACCCGCGUCGCAUUAGCUAGUUGGUGAGGUAACGGCUCACCAAGGCAACGAUGCGUAGCCGACCUGAGAGGGGUGAUCGGCCACACUGGGACUGAGACACGGCCCAGACUCCUACGGGAGGCAGCAGUAGGGAAUCUUCCGCAAUGGACGAAAGUCUGACGGAGCAACGCCGCGUGAGUGAUGAAGGCUUUCGGGUCGUAAAACUCUGUUGUUAGGGAAGAAGCAAAAGUGCUAGUUGAAUAAGCUGGCACCCUUGACGGUAC
This 493-nucleotide ribosomal RNA is filed under the name Bacillus cereus. RNAcentral's name for it is "bacterial SSU rRNA". It matches the Rfam family "Bacterial small subunit ribosomal RNA", at positions 12 to 478 of the family's 1533-position model. The record is from RNAcentral. Lineage: Bacteria; Bacillati; Bacillota; Bacilli; Caryophanales; Bacillaceae.